Parus major (Great Tit) is the source of this 1553-nucleotide long non-coding RNA. NCBI's taxonomy places the organism in Eukaryota, Metazoa, Chordata, Aves, Passeriformes, Paridae. The record is from Ensembl.
UCCAUCUUGCGCUUGAAGAGCUCCAGGAAGCUGCCGUCGUUGGCGAACACGUUGACGCCGCCGCCCGGGCCCGGGGGGGGCGGCGAAGGCGCCUCCGGGGCCUCCCGGUCCUCACCGCGCGCCGCCAUCUUGUCCGCCGCCACCGCCGCCGGCGCCGCCCGAUGACGUCAGAGCGACCGCCGCGGCCGCGGCGGCGCGGUUUUGUUACGUCAGCGAGAUUUCCCCCCCCCUCCUCCGCUGGCGGGGCGGCGUUGCCCGGCAACGCGCGGGGCUCCCGCCGCUUCGCCCCGCCCCCGGCGAGGAUUGACGGGCGAAUCCACCAAUGGGAAGCGAAAGAAGGGAGGGCGCGGCUGCGCGCGGACCAAUCAGCGCGCGGCGGGCGGCGGCGCGGGGAAGAUGGCGGCAGCGGCGGCGGGCGGGUGGGCGGCCGAGGCCCCGGAGGAGUUCGAGGACGCGCCGGACGUGGAGCCGCUGGAACCGACGCUGGCGAACAUCAUCGAGCAGCGCAGCCUCAAGUGGAUCUUCGUGGGCGGCAAGGGCGGCGUGGGCAAGACCACGUGCAGCUGCAGCCUGGCCGUGCAGCUGUCCCGGGUCCGGGGAGGGAUCACCGGGAGGGAUCACGGUCCCGGUCCCGGUCCCGCUGAGUCCCCGGUACCGAUCCCAGCUGCAGCCUGGCUGUGCAGCUGUCCCGGGUCCGGGGAGGGCUCACCGGGGGGAUCACCGGGGGGAUCACCGGCUCUGGGAAGGUGUCCCGGUCCCGGUCCCGGUCCCGCUGAGUCCCCGGUACCGUUCCCAGUUGCAGCCUGGCCGUGCAGCUGUCCCGGGUCCGGGGAGGGAUCACCGGGGGUAUCACCGGGAGGGAUCACCGUGUCCCGGUCCCGGUCCCGGUCCUGCUGAGCCCCCGGUACCGUUCCCGUUCCCAGUUGCAGCCUGGCCGUGCAGCUGUCCCGGGCCCGGGGAGGGAUCACCGGGGGUGUCACUGGGGGUAUCACCGGGGGUAUCACCGUGUCCUGGUCCCGGUCCCGGUCCCGCUGAACCCCCGGUACCGUUCCCGUUCCCAGUUGCAGCCUGGCCGUGCAGCUGUCCCGGGUCUGGGGAGGGAUCACCGGGGGGAUCACCGGCUCCGGGGAGGGAUCACCGGGGGGAUCACCGUGUCCCGGUCCCGGUCCUGCUGAGCCCCCGGUACCGUUCCCGUUCCCAGUUGCAGCCUGGCCGUGCAGCUGUCCCGGGUCCGGGGAGGGCUCACCGGGGGUGUCACCGGGGGUAUCACCGGGAGGGAUCACCGUGUCCCGGUCCCGGUCCCGGUCCCGCUGAGCCCCCGGUACCGUUGCCGUUCCCAGUUGCAGCCUGGCCGUGCAGCUGUCCCGGGCCCGGGGAGGGAUCACCGAGGGGAUCACCGGGGGGAUCACCGGCUCCGGGGAGGGAUCACCGGGGGGAUCACUGUGUCCCGGUCCCGCUGAGUCCCCGGUACCGUUCCCAGUUGCAGCCUGGCCGUGCAGCUGUCCCGGGUCCGGGGAGGGCUCACCGGGGGGAUCACCGGGGGGAUCACCGGC